GUCCCUGUGGCGCAAUCUGUCAGGGCGUUAGGCUGUUAACCGAGAGGUUGGUGGUUCGAGCCCCUUCAGGGACG
Loxodonta africana (African savanna elephant) is the source of this 74-nucleotide transfer RNA. It matches the Rfam family "tRNA". Rfam says of the family: Transfer RNA (tRNA) molecules are approximately 80 nucleotides in length. Their secondary structure includes four short double-helical elements and three loops (D, anti-codon, and T loops). The record is from Rfam. NCBI's taxonomy places the organism in Eukaryota, Metazoa, Chordata, Mammalia, Proboscidea, Elephantidae.